This 781-nucleotide ribosomal RNA is filed under the name uncultured bacterium. Its description in RNAcentral is "bacterial SSU rRNA". It matches the Rfam family "Bacterial small subunit ribosomal RNA", at positions 8 to 794 of the family's 1533-position model. The record is from RNAcentral.
AGAGUUUGAUCCUGGCUCAGGAUGAGCAGGCUUAAUACAUGCAAGUCGAGGGGCAGCACGAAUAGCAAUAUUUGGUGGCGACCGGCGCACGGGUGCGUAACACGUAUACAACCUACCUAUAACAGGGGGAUAGCCUUUCGAAAGAGAGAUUAAUACCCCGUAAUAAAUUGAGUGGCAUCACUUGAUUUUGAAAGCUACGGCGGUUAUAGAUGGGUAUGCGUCCUAUUAGCUAGUUGGUGAGGUAACGGCUCACCAAGGCGACGAUAGGUAGGGGAUCUGAGAGGACUAACCCCCACACUGGUACUGAGACACGGACCAGACUCCUACGGGAGGCAGCAGUAAGGAAUAUUGGUCAAUGGAGGCAACUCUGAACCAGCCAUGCCGCGUGCAGGAUGACGGCCCUAUGGGUUGUAAACUGCUUUUGUACCAGAGAAAACCUACUCACGUGUGAGUAGCUGAUAGUAUGGUAAGAAUAAGCAUCGGCUAACUUCGUGCCAGCAGCCGCGGUAAGACGAAGGAUGCAAGCGUUAUCCGGAUUCAUUGGGUUUAAAGGGUGCGUAGGCGGACUUGUAAGUCAGUGGUGAAAUCUCUUCGCUUAACGAAGAAACUGCCAUUGAUACUGCAGGUCUAGAGUACAGAUGACGUGGGCGGAAUAUGACAUGUAGUGGUGAAAUACUUAGAUAUGUCAUAGAACACCGAUUGCGAAGGCAGCUCACGAAACUGUAACUGACGCUGAGGCACGAAAGUGCGGGGAUCAAACAGGAUUAGAUACCCCGGUAGU